This 406-nucleotide ribosomal RNA is filed under the name uncultured bacterium. RNAcentral's name for it is "bacterial SSU rRNA". It matches the Rfam family "Bacterial small subunit ribosomal RNA", at positions 355 to 775 of the family's 1533-position model. The record is from RNAcentral.
UAGGGAAUAUUGCACAAUGGGGGAAACCCUGAUGCAGCGACGCCGCGUGAGUGAUGAAGGCCUUCGGGUCGUAAAGCUCUGUCGUAUGGGACUAACACAAUGAAGGUACCAUGCAAGAAAGGAUCGGCUAACUUCGUGCCAGCAGCCGCGGUAAGACGAGGGAUCCUAGCGUUGUUCGGAAUCAUUGGGCGUAAAGCGGGUGUAGGCGGACUUAUAAGUCAGAUGUGAAAUCCCAGGGCUUAACUCUGGAAGUGCAUUUGAUACUGUAAGCCUUGAGUGUGGUAGAGGUUACUGGAAUUCCUGGUGUAGUGGUGAAAUACGUAGAUAUCAGGAGGAAUACCGGAGGCGAAGGCGGGUAACUGGGCCAACACUGACGCUGAGAUCCGAAAGCGUGGGGAUCAAACAG